AUUAUUGCGGGAGAGACUACACUUAGCGCCGAAGGAGCAACCGCCCUCGGAAACUCUCAGGCAAAAGGACCGCAAU
RNAcentral lists this non-coding RNA (76 nucleotides) under marine eukaryotic metagenome. RNAcentral's name for it is "Glycine riboswitch". It matches the Rfam family "Glycine riboswitch aptamer", at positions 7 to 88 of the family's 94-position model. Rfam says of the family: This family represents the bacterial glycine riboswitch. Glycine riboswitches usually consist of two metabolite-binding aptamers domains with similar structures in tandem. The aptamers cooperatively bind glycine to regulate the expression of downstream genes. The record is from RNAcentral.